GGACGGGUGACAUAUCACUGGUGUAACCUGCCUGUAACAUUGGGAUAACUCCGGGAAACCGGGGCUAAUACCGGAUGGUUGUUUGAACCGCAUGGUUCAAACAUAACGGUUGGCUUUGCCUCCCCUUUAGUUGGGAACUGCGGUCCAAUUUGAAAAUGGUGAGGGGGGAGUGGCUCAACGCCACGAUUCCUAUCCCAUUUGAUAGGGUGAUUGGCCCCCGUGGGACUGCCACGUCGUCCAGACUCUGAUGGUAGGGACGUCUACGGAACCUUCCCGCCGUGUAGUAACGCUGACGGAAUUACGCCGCGUGAGUGAAGGAGGGUUACCGAUCAUAAAGGUCUGUUGUUAUGGAGGAACUUAUACCGUUCUCAUAGGACGGUACC
RNAcentral lists this ribosomal RNA (383 nucleotides) under Bacillus sp. IAB1. Its description in RNAcentral is "bacterial SSU rRNA". It matches the Rfam family "Bacterial small subunit ribosomal RNA", at positions 100 to 479 of the family's 1533-position model. Lineage: Bacteria; Bacillati; Bacillota; Bacilli; Caryophanales; Bacillaceae. The record is from RNAcentral.